RNAcentral lists this unclassified non-coding RNA (662 nucleotides) under Hevea brasiliensis (rubber tree). The record is from RNAcentral. Lineage: Eukaryota; Viridiplantae; Streptophyta; Magnoliopsida; Malpighiales; Euphorbiaceae.
UAGGAUCACUGACCCAAGUGACAAUUUGACCAGCUCCACGAAUAGCCCUGAUCAGAUGGGGAAGCUUUACUCUCAUGUUAUCAGCUCCCAUCCUGGCGAUUACUGUAAUCCUUCCUGGUCUAUUUUGAGGGUUAAGAAUGUCAAUAAGCUUGACUAGUUCAUUUGGAUCCAUUUUAUGACUCACCUUGAUUCCAAGUGGAUUGGCAAUUCCUCUCAGAAACUCAACAUGAGCACCAUCCAAUUGCCUUGUUCGUUCCCCAACCCAAAUCAUAUGAGCGGAGCAGUCAUAAUAAAGGCCAGAAGUUGAAUCCUCUCUAGUAAGUGCUUGUUCAUAAGGCAAGAGAAGGCACUCAUGUGAUGUCCAGAAGUCUGUUGUAGUCAUGAUUGGGUGGUCAACUGUAAGCCCAGCAGCAGUCAUGAAGCCCAUGGUUUCGUCAACUCGGUGAGCCAGUUCACGGUACCUGUCACCUUGCUCGCUGCGAUCAGUAAAGUCAAGAUUCCACUCGUUAACCCUCUGCAUGGCAGCAUAACCUCCAGUAGCAAAUGCCCUGAGGAGGUUCAAUGUAGCUACAGACUGAGUAUAGGCCCUAAUCAUCCUAUGGGGGUCAGGAAUUCUUGAUAUCUCAUCAAAAGUAUCGCCAUUCACAUUGUCUCCCCUGUAA